Molecule: ribosomal RNA, 225 nt
Filed under: uncultured bacterium
Lineage: Bacteria
Description: partial 16S ribosomal RNA
Rfam family: Bacterial small subunit ribosomal RNA
Source: RNAcentral
AGUAACGCGUGGAUAACCUGCCUCACACUGGGGGAUAACAGUUAGAAAUGACUGCUAAUACCGCAUAAGCGCACAGUACCGCAUGGUACAGUGUGAAAAACUCCGGUGGUGUGAGAUGGAUCCGCGUCUGAUUAGCCAGUUGGCGGGGUAACGGCCCACCAAAGCGACGAUCGGUAGCCGGACUGAGAGGUUGAACGGCCACAUUGGGACUGAGACACGGCCCAG